CUGCUUCUCACCUCUCCCGUCCCUCUGCGGACCAACCUAUGCCUCCUCCAGAUUCUUGCUGCCACUGGUUCUCCUUUCAUCUCAAAAGCUGAGCCACCCAGGGAGGUGGGCAUAGAAAAGAGAAAGGAAGAAAGUUAGGCGGGAUUGGGAAGAAAAUCUAUCUACAGCCAGAAGAGGACUCUGCCCCUGCCCACUUUACUCUCAGCUGUGCCCAUGCUACAGAGGAGGAUAACAAGGCUCAUGGUUGGAACUCAGAGGUUCCCUUCCCCCAGCACCUGUGAAUCCUGGAGCCCAAGCAGAGAGAAUUCUCCAGGGAGAAGGUCCCACUCUCAGCGCUGGGACGCCAAGCCUGCAGUUCUCCG
This 362-nucleotide long non-coding RNA is filed under the name Aotus nancymaae (Ma's night monkey). Its description in RNAcentral is "lncRNA (ENSANAG00000039277.1)". Lineage: Eukaryota; Metazoa; Chordata; Mammalia; Primates; Aotidae. The record is from RNAcentral.